GACGAACGCUGGCGGCGUGGAUUAGGCAUGCAAGUCGAACGGUAUCAUCCUUUCGGGGGUGAGAGAGUGGCGAACUGGUGAGUAACACGUAGGUUAUCUACCCUCAAGACGGGGACAACCCAGGGAAACUUGGGCUAAUACCGGAUGUGAGCAACUUUUAGUUGUUUGAAAGGUGGCGUAAGCUGUCGCUUGGGGAUGAGCCUGCGUCCUAUUAGUUAGUUGGUGAGGUAACGGCUCACCUAGGCAAUGAUAGGUAGGCGGCCUUAACGGGUGGUCGCCCACACUGGGAUUGAGAUACGGCCCAGACUCCUACGGGAGGCAGCAGUCGAGAAUAGUCUACAAUGGUCGGAAGACUGAUAGUGCGGCGCCGCGUGAACGAUGAAUCCCUUCGGGGUGUAAAGUUCUUUUAUAUGUGAGCAGUGCUUCUUAUAUUAACAGUAUGGGGAAGAGAUAUUAGCAUAUGAAUAAGCAACGGCUAACUCCGUGCCAGCAGCCGCGGU
This 500-nucleotide ribosomal RNA is filed under the name uncultured bacterium. Its description in RNAcentral is "bacterial SSU rRNA". It matches the Rfam family "Bacterial small subunit ribosomal RNA", at positions 28 to 521 of the family's 1533-position model. The record is from RNAcentral.